RNAcentral lists this ribosomal RNA (497 nucleotides) under uncultured bacterium. Its description in RNAcentral is "partial 16S ribosomal RNA". It matches the Rfam family "Bacterial small subunit ribosomal RNA", at positions 28 to 507 of the family's 1533-position model. The record is from RNAcentral.
GAUGAACGCUGGCGGCGUGCCUAAUACAUGCAAGUCGAGCGAACGGACGAGAAGCUUGCUUCUCUGAUGUUAGCGGCGGACGGGUGAGUAACACGUGGAUAACCUACCUAUAAGACUGGGAUAACUUCGGGAAACCGGAGCUAAUCCCGGAUAAUAUCUUGAACCGCAUGGUUCAAAAGUGAAAGACGGUCUUGCUGUCACUUAUCGAUGGAUCUGCGCUGCAUUAGCUAGUUGGUAAGGUAACGGGUUAUCAAGGGAAGUAGGCGUGACCGAGCUGAUGGGGUGAUCGGCCACCUUGGAACUGGGCCACGCUCCUUGCGCCUACGGUACGGCGCAGUCUGCAACCUGCCGCAACGGUCGAAAGCCUGACGCAGCAGCGCCGCGUGAGUGAUGAAGGCCUCGCGUUCGUAAAGCUCUGUUAUUAGGGAAGAACAUAUGUGUAAGUAACUGUGCACAGCUUGACGGUACCUAAUCAGAAAGCCACGGCUAACUACGUG